GCGUUAAGUCGACCGCCUGGGGAGCACGGACGCAAGGUUAAAACUCAAAUGAAUUGACGGGGGCCCGCACAAGCGGUGGAGCAUGUGGUUUAAUUCGAUGCAACGCGAAGAACCUUACCUACUCUUGAAAUCCAGAGAACUUUCCAGAGAUGGAUUGGUGCCUUCGGGAACUCUGAGACAGGUGCUGCAUGGCUGUCGUCAGCUCGUGUUGUGAAAUGUUGGGUUAAGUCCCGCAACGAGCGCAACCCUUAUCCUUUGUUGCCAGCGGUUAGGCCGGGAACUCAAAGGAGACUGCCAGUGAUAAACUGGAGGAAGGUGGGGAUGACGUCAAGUCAUCAUGGCCCUUACGAGUAGGGCUACACACGUGCUACAAUGGCGCAUACAAAGAGAAGCGACCUCGCGAGAGCAAGCGGACCUCAUAAAGUGCGUCGUAGUCCGGAUUGGAGUCUGCAACUCGACUCCAUGAAGUCGGAAUCGCUAGUAAUCGUAGAUCAGAAUGCUACGGUGAAUACGUUCCCGGGCCUUGUACACACCGCCCGUCACACCAUGGGAGUGGGUUGCAAAAGAAGUAGGUAGCUUAACCUUCGGGAGGGCGCUUACCACUUUGUGAUUCAUGACUGGGGUGAAGU
This 629-nucleotide ribosomal RNA is filed under the name Enterobacter sp. DJM28. RNAcentral describes it as "bacterial SSU rRNA". It matches the Rfam family "Bacterial small subunit ribosomal RNA", at positions 857 to 1486 of the family's 1533-position model. The record is from RNAcentral. Lineage: Bacteria; Pseudomonadati; Pseudomonadota; Gammaproteobacteria; Enterobacterales; Enterobacteriaceae.